GUCAUCCCAUCGUCUCCUCUCUCUCGGUCCUCUCAGCGCCCAUUGCAAUUUGUUGGUCAGCGCCCAUCAUCUCCCACCGGUCGCAGCAUCUCUCUUGUGCCCCUUGCAAUUGGAUGGUCAGGCAUGCAGCAGGGAAGCCGCCUCUCCUGGUCGGAUUUGCAGAGCCUGGCGCGCCGGAAGCCGGCGGCCUCCGCGGCAGCGGCGGAUGGCCGACGCCUCGCUAAGGCGCUCUCCGUUCCCCACCUCACGGCCAUUGGUGUUGGCUCGACGAUCGGCGCCGGCAUCUAUGUCCUGGUAGGAACUGUGGCUCGUGAGCAUGCUGGACCAGCCUUGACACUUUCCUUUCUAAUUGCUGGCAUUGCUGCUGCUCUUUCUGCCUUGUGUUAUGCCGAGCUUUCUUGCCGCUUCCCUUCAGCAGGAAGUGCUUAUCACUAUUCCUACAUUUGCAUUGGAGAGAGUGUCGCUUGGUUGAUUGGUUGGGCUUUGAUUCUCGAGUACACAAUUGGUGGAUCAUCAGUGGCACGUGGCAUCUCACCAAACUUGGCUCUGUUUUUUGGUGGCCAAGACAAGUUGCCCUUCUUCUUAGCACAAGUACAUGUUAAAUGGCUUGACACCCCAGUUGAUCCUUGUGCUGCCAUUCUUGUCCUCAUAGUCACUGCAUUACUCUGUCUGGGAAUUAAGGAGAGCUCACUUGUGGAAGGCGUCAUCACCAUUGCAAAUGUCGCAAUUAUGCUGUUUAUCAUUUGUGCCGGUGGAUGGUUAGGAUUCCAGAAUGGCUGGCCUGGUUAUGAUGUUCCGAAAGGUUACUUCCCGAAUGGUGCAAGUGGAGUUUUUUCUGGAUCAGCAACCCUCUUCUUUGCUUACAUUGGCUUUGAUGCAGUUGCCAGUACAGCUGAAGAGGUGAAGAAUCCUCAACGUGAUCUUCCAUGGGGAAUGUGUUUGACCUUGUCAUUGUGCUGCUUCCUCUACAUGAUGGUUUCUGCUGUUAUUGUCGGUCUGGUGCCAUAUUAUGCAAUGGAUCCUGACACCCCUAUUUCAUCUGCAUUUGCUCAAUAUGGAAUGCAAUGGGCAGCGUAUGUCAUUUCCAGUGGGGCUGUUCUUGCUCUCAUAGCAUCACUGAUUGGCGCUAUUCUCCCUCAGCCAAGAAUUGUCAUGGCCAUGGCAAGAGAUGGACUGCUUCCCCCAAUAUUCUCAGCUGUUGGUCAACGGACUCAAGUCCCAACAUUGAGCACAAUUCUGACUGGGAUAUGUGCUGCUAUCCUUGCUUUUUUCAUGGAUGUGUCACAAUUGGCCGGGAUGGUAAGCGUGGGCACACUAUUGGCAUUUACAAUGGUUGCGAUUUCUCUUUUAAUAGUAAGAUAUGCUCCUCCAAAUGAUAUGCCAAUGGGAGGCGCUGAUCCAUCCUCAGUUGAAUCACUAGCUUUACACGCUGGGCAUUCAGAGGCAGAUGAGGGAAUUUUGGAGGGUCCUUUUGGCAAUGUUGAUGAAGCACCUACUGCCAGUGAGAUCGCCAAUAUGGUAAGGCGACAAAAAGCUAAAAGAUAUAUAGUGAUGGUUUGCUUUGGGGUCAUCAUCUUUGUGCCAGCGGUUUCUUUCUCCUCUUUGCCAUUUUCCAUACGAUGCACAACAUGUGCCUUAGGUGGCUUGCUCUUGCUCGGUGCUAGCAUUGUACUUUCAUGCAUCGGACAAGACACGUCGUCUUCACGACAAACUGAAGGUUUCAUGUGCCCGUUUGUACCUGUACUUCCAGUAUGCUGCAUCCUCAUCAACGCGUACCUUCUAAUGAACCUUGGGAGUCACACGUGGAUCCGUGUUUCUGUAUGGCUUGUGGCUGGUGCACUAAUAUAUCUCUUCUACGGUCGAAAUCACAGUUCCCUGACAGGAACGGCCUACGAGCGCGUGUCACCUGCAUGAGACAGCGUGGGGGUAUUCUUCUAAUUUUUAAUCUGCAUAUAUGUUGACGAACUCGUGAAGGCGGAGACCUUGGUAAAUUUCCUUCACAUUGACAAGGUUAGCACUUCCAUGGUCGAUCUGUCAACGGCUGAAGCCUUCAAAGCAGCAUGGAGAAAUGGCCAUCAUACAUGGUUGGGGGGUUCCUGACCAGUUUUGGACAAGAAACGGAAGAACCCCCGAGUUUUGAAUUCUGCAGAGGUUUUAAACUUGAAAGCAGAAACAUGUAUACCAAUAGUAGCGCUGAAUAGGAUUACAAUCAAUCACUUUUUCGGCAAUUUCACCAACCCCCGGGAGGCUCUGUUCAGAAGAAAAGGUUUUUGGAGGAAAAAUCGGAGGACUGCAAUCCAGGGGAAAAUUUGGCAACGAGGAGAGUAAUUCCUAGAGGAAAAUGUGAGGGAGGCCUCUAUCCGCUCAUAUCAUCAGUUUCUUCAUCAUCAAAUAAACAAGCAUGGAGUGUCACCAAACCAUCAUCGGUAAAGUGGCAUCGUCGCUUGGGUCAUCCUUCUUCAACUAUCGUUCAACAUGUUCUUAGUAGAAAUAAACUUCCUUAUGAGUCUAGUGUUGAGUCAGUUUGUGAUGCAUGUCAACAAGCUAAGAGUCAUCAAUUGCCAUAUCCUAUCUCUACCAGUGUAUCCACUGCUCCUUUGCAACUUAUUUUUUCAGAUGUGUGGGGACCAUCCCCUAC
RNA transcript from Triticum dicoccoides, 2638 nucleotides. It is a transcript of the gene named cationic amino acid transporter 2, vacuolar-like, with no coding region annotated. Lineage: Eukaryota; Viridiplantae; Streptophyta; Magnoliopsida; Poales; Poaceae. The record is from RefSeq and is a predicted model, not a curated record. The transcript has 15 exons.